CCUACGGGUGGCUGCAGUGAGGAAUAUUGGUCAAUGGCCGUAAGGCUGAACCAGCCAAGCCGCGUGAAGGAAGAAGGUUCGAUGGUUUGUAAACUUCUUUUAUGGGGGAAUAAAGGCAUCCACGCGUGGAUAUUUGCAUGUACCUGAUGAAUAAGCAUCGGCUAACUCCGUGCCAGCAGCCGCGGUAAUACGGAGGAUGCGAGCGUUAUCCGGAUUUAUUGGGUUUAAAGGGUGCGUAGGUUGUUUUUUAAGUCAGCGGUGAAAGUUUGUGGCUCAACCAUAAAAUUGCCGUUGAAACUGGCAGACUUGAGUGUGUUUGAGGUAGGCGGAAUGCGUGGUGUAGCGGUGAAAUGCAGAGAUAUCGCGCAGAACUCCGAUUGCGAAGGCAGCUUACU
RNAcentral lists this ribosomal RNA (395 nucleotides) under uncultured bacterium. RNAcentral describes it as "partial 16S ribosomal RNA". It matches the Rfam family "Bacterial small subunit ribosomal RNA", at positions 338 to 730 of the family's 1533-position model. The record is from RNAcentral.